Molecule: non-coding RNA, 45 nt
Organism: Schistosoma rodhaini
Lineage: Eukaryota; Metazoa; Platyhelminthes; Trematoda; Strigeidida; Schistosomatidae
Source: Rfam
AUCCAGCUGACGCGUCCCAAAUAGGACGGAACGAGCGUCGUGGAU